GACGAACGCUGGCGGCGUGCUUAACACAUGCAAGUCGAACGGAAAGGCCCCUUCGGGGGUGCUCGAGUGGCGAACGGGUGAGUAACACGUGGGUGAUCUGCCCUGCACUUUGGGAUAAGCCUGGGAAACUGGGUCUAAUACCGGAUAGGACCAUGGGAUGCAUGUCCUGUGGUGGAAAGCUUUUGCGGUGUGGGAUGGGCCCGCGGCCUAUCAGGUUGUUGGUGGGGUGAUGGCCUACCAAGGCGACGACGGGUAGCCGGCCUGAGAGGGUGUCCGGCCACACUGGGACUGAGAUACGGCCCAGACUCCUACGGGAGGCAGCAGUGGGGAAUAUUGCACAAUGGGCGCAAGCCUGAUGCAGCGACGCCGCGUGAGGGAUGACGGCCUUCGGGUUGUAAACCUCUUUCAACGCCGACGAAGGGUGACUGACGGUAGGCGUAGAAGAAGCACCGGCCAACUACGUGCCAGCCGCCGCGGUAA
This 480-nucleotide ribosomal RNA is filed under the name uncultured bacterium. RNAcentral's name for it is "partial 16S ribosomal RNA". It matches the Rfam family "Bacterial small subunit ribosomal RNA", at positions 28 to 523 of the family's 1533-position model. The record is from RNAcentral.